RNAcentral lists this ribosomal RNA (276 nucleotides) under Triticum aestivum (bread wheat). RNAcentral describes it as "partial small subunit ribosomal RNA". The record is from RNAcentral. Lineage: Eukaryota; Viridiplantae; Streptophyta; Magnoliopsida; Poales; Poaceae.
AUGCCAAAGUAUAUGGGGGGGCUUGGCUUCCGAGACACACAAAUGUUUAAUCUGUCGAUGCUUGCGAAGCAGUCAUGGCGGCUGUUGCAGGAGUCAGAUUCGUUGAGUGCCAAGUUGCUAAAGGCUGUGUACUACCCGGACUGCGAGGUCCUAGAGGCUAAGCUGGGUUUCCAUCCUUCCCAGGUAUGGCGAGCCUUAUGCGCAGGUACAGAGGUUUUGAAGCAAGGCAUAGUUAGGAGGAUUGGCAAUGGUCAAGAUACUAACAUCUGGAACUAA